This 254-nucleotide ribosomal RNA is filed under the name uncultured prokaryote. RNAcentral's name for it is "partial 16S ribosomal RNA". It matches the Rfam family "Bacterial small subunit ribosomal RNA", at positions 524 to 776 of the family's 1533-position model. The record is from RNAcentral.
UACGUAGGGUGCGAGCGUUAAUCGGAAUUACUGGGCUUAAAGGGCGCGUAGGCGGCCGAGCGGGUCGCGGGUGAAAUCCCCCAGCUUAACUGGGGAACUGCCCUCGAUACCACUGCGGCUCGAGGAAGGAAGGGGCAAUCGGAACUGUCGGUGGAGCGGUGAAAUGCGUUGAUAUCGACAGGAACGCCGGUGGCGAAAGCGGAUUGCUGGUCCUUUUCUGACGCUGAGGCGCGAAAGCCAGGGGAGCAAACGGG